GCAGUCGAGGGGUAUUUAUCUUCGGAUAGAGAGACCGGCGCACGGGUGCGUAACGCGUAUGCAAUCUACCUUUUGCAGAGGGAUAGCCCAGAGAAAUUUGGAUUAAUACCUCAUAGUAUAUAGAGUUGGCAUCAACACUAUAUUAAAGUCACAACGGCAAAAGAUGAGCAUGCGUCCCAUUAGCUAGUUGGUAAGGUAACGGCUUACCAAGGCUACGAUGGGUAGGGGUCCUGAGAGGGAGAUCCCCCACACUGGUACUGAGACACGGACCAGACUCCUACGGGAGGCAGCAGUGAGGAAUAUUGGACAAUGGGCGCAAGCCUGAUCCAGCCAUGCCGCGUGCAGGAUGACGGUCCUAUGGAUUGUAAACUGCUUUUGCACAGGAAGAAACAACAUUACGUGUAAUGUCUUGACGGUACUGUGAGAAUAAGGAUCGGCUAACUCCGUGCCAGCAGCCGCGGUAAUACGGAGGACCCAAGCGUUAUCCGGAAUCAUUGGGUUUAAAGGGUCCGUAGGCGGGUUAGUAAGUCAGUGGUGAAAGCCCAUCGCUCAACGGUGGAACGGCCAUUGAUACUGCUAGACUUGAAUUAUUAGGAAGUAACUAGAAUAUGUAGUGUAGCGGUGAAAUGCUUAGAGAUUACAUGGAAUACCAAUUGCGAAGGCAGGUUACUACUAAUGGAUUGACGCUGAUGGACGAAAGCGUGGGUAGCGAACAGGAUUAGAUACCCUGGUAGUCCACGCCGUANACGAUGGAUACUAGCUGUUGGGAGCGAUCUCAGUGGCUAAGCGAAAGUGAUAAGUAUCCCACCUGGGGAGUACGUUUCGCAGAAUGAAACUCAAAGGAAUUGACGGGGGCCCGCACAAAGCGUGGAGCAUGUGGUUUAAUUCGAUGAUACGCGAGGAACCUUA
This 909-nucleotide ribosomal RNA is filed under the name uncultured bacterium. RNAcentral describes it as "bacterial SSU rRNA". It matches the Rfam family "Bacterial small subunit ribosomal RNA", at positions 57 to 973 of the family's 1533-position model. The record is from RNAcentral.